GAUCCUGGCUCAGGACGAACGCUGGCGGCGUGCUUAACACAUGCAAGUCGAACGAAGAGCGAUGGGAGCUUGCUCCUAUCAAUUUUAGUGGCGAACGGGUGAGUAACGCGUAAUCAACCUGCCCUUCAAUGGGGGACAACAGUUGGAAACGACUGCUAAUACCGCAUACGAUCGUAAUUCGGCAUCGAGAUACGAUGAAAGGUGGCCUCUAUUUAUAAGCUAUCGCUGAAGGAGGGGAUUG
Molecule: ribosomal RNA, 241 nt
Filed under: uncultured bacterium
Lineage: Bacteria
Description: partial 16S ribosomal RNA
Rfam family: Bacterial small subunit ribosomal RNA
Source: RNAcentral